UGGAUCCAGAACUUUGAUUCUGGCUCAGGAUGAACGCUAGCGGCAGGCUUAACACAUUGCAAGUCGAGGGGCAGCGCGGGAUAGCAAUAUUCUGGCGGCGACCGGCGGAAGGGUGCGUAACGCGUGAGCGACAUGCCCGUUGCCCGGGGACAACCGGUGGAAACGCCGACUAGUCCCCGAUGGGAUACGAUGCUGCAUGGCAUUGUAUUGGAAGUUACGGCGGCGACGGAUUGGCUCGCGUCCGAUUAGCUUGUUGGCGGGGUGGCGGCCCACCAAGGCUACGAUCGGUAGGGGUUCUGAGAGGAAGGCCCCCCACAAUGGGACUGAGACACGGCCCGUACUCCUACGGGAGGCAGCAGUGAGGAAUAUAGGUCAAUGGGCGGAAGCCUGAACCAGCCAUGCCGCGUGCGGGAAGGAGGCCCUAUGGGCUGUGAACCGCUUUUGCCUGGGGGCAAUAAGGGCGUCGCGCACGUCUGAUGAGAGUACCAGGCGAAUAAGCAUCGGCUAACUCCGUGCCAGCAGCCGCGGUAAUACGGGGGAUGCGAGCGUUAUCCGGGUUCAUUGGGUUUAAAGGGUGCGUAGGCUGUGCGUCAAGUCGGGGGUGAAAUUCCGGUGCUCAACACCGGGGCUGCCCUUGAUACUGUCGCGCUGGAGUGCGGAUGCCGCCGGAGGAAUGAGUGGUGUAGCGGUGAAAUGCUUAGAUAUCACUCAGAACACCGAUUGCGAAGGCAUCUGGCGAAUCCGUAACUGACGCUGAGGCACGAAAGCGUGGGGAUAGAACAGGAUUAGAUACCCUGGUAUUCCACGCCGUAAACGAUGAUGGCUAACCGCCGGCGACACACUGUCGGUGGCCAAGCGAAAGCGAUAAGCCAUCCACCUGGGGAGUACGUCGGCAACGAUGCAACUCAAAGGAAUUGACGGA
Molecule: ribosomal RNA, 922 nt
Filed under: uncultured Bacteroidota bacterium
Lineage: Bacteria; Pseudomonadati; Bacteroidota
Description: bacterial SSU rRNA
Rfam family: Bacterial small subunit ribosomal RNA
Source: RNAcentral